This 253-nucleotide ribosomal RNA is filed under the name uncultured bacterium. RNAcentral describes it as "partial 16S ribosomal RNA". It matches the Rfam family "Bacterial small subunit ribosomal RNA", at positions 524 to 776 of the family's 1533-position model. The record is from RNAcentral.
UACGUAGGGGGCGAGCGUUGUCCGGAGUUACUGGGCGUAAAGGGCAUGCAGGCGGUCGGACGCGUUUUGUGUGACAGCGGGUGGCUCAACUACCCGAGCAUGCGAAAGACGGUCGGACUUGAGGACUCGAGAGGGACACUGAAUUCCUGGUGUAGCGGUGAAAUGCGCAGAUAUCAGGAGGAACACCCGUGGCGAAAGCGGCUCUCUGGGACGGUACUGACGCUGAGACGCGAAAGCGUGGGGAGCAAACAGG